CCUCGGACUCUCCGUUUCAGGGUUUCAUUCUCUUUAUUUGUUUUUUAUGUCCAUAUAUUUAUUACCACCAUUAUCUCUUUCUCUUCACUCCAAUUUUCAACUCCAAGAACCAACAACACCCAACAAAAAUAAUGCACUUUCUUUCUGGUGACAAUGACGCGAAGUGUUAAGCUUAAAAACGGUGAACAAGAGAAGGGGUUUCGGAAUUUGCACGGAAAUUUUGAUCUCAAUGUAAGUGCUUCCGAACUGGAGGAGCAGCCUAAUGUAAAGUGUCAAUUAAUAGAAAAGCAUAAUAGCCACUUUAGUGACUUUCCUCGAAGGAUGGAGAAUCACAAAGAUAACGAUAAUGUGGAACCCCGCCAACACGGAGAGCAUGUACAGCAGACAAAGACGGUUGAAGGGUGUAUCGAUCACUUGUUGAUUCUUGCUCAAUCUGCCGAGAUAGUAGCACAAUCCGAAGAUGGCAUAACUAGGACGGAUACGGAUCAAAAUAAAGACUUACAUAACAACUUAGUUGGUCAAAUAUCACAAGGAUAUUCAAUUUUGAAAUUUCUUCCGUGCACUUUGGAAUCCCAAAGUCAGAAGAGUUUGAUAACUAACCCCUAUUUUCGUGUUUAUAGAUCAGGAAUACUCUCGAGAACUACUUCAUAUUUCACCAGUGGAUUCUCCACUAUGUAGUCAAGGCUUUGAGUUUCGCAAUGAAGUUACAAGACCCUGCUUAACUCAAAUUCCGAAGCAAACUGCAUGUGAGUAUCGUAUAAUGGAUCAAGAGAAGCGUGGGGAUAACCAAUGCAAACAUUUGCAUGGAAAAACAAUCCGCUUGAGCCAAAUAAAGCAUCGAGCUAGGUGCAAAAGUAAGAAGGAUUUGGCACCACAAAAAAUGACGAGUAGACUUAGAAAUGAGCAACCGCGAGGAAGAAUACUUCGACUGAGUCAGAUGAAAAACCGAGCUCGGUCAAAGGGCAAUACAACAGUGAAAGAACGUACUGAGGAACAUAUAGGCAGGAGUCUUCAUUGCAAUAUAUUUAAAGGUGAAUAAUGAGGAACCUAAUAGUGUGAGCAGAGCGGCAGUUUUGUUGAGUUUAUGCAGAGAGCAGAACACUUUUUUCCUUGACAUUACAUAAAGCUAUGAUUAACCCAAUGUUAUCAUUGUUAUAGAUAAUAAGGAAACGAUGGUUGCAAGCCGACUUGUGGAAGAAGGUACUUGUCAAGGGGGUAAGGCUCUUUCUUCCGUAAGUCAUUAACGUUAAACAAGAUCGAUCAUAUGGUACUUGAUGCGGAGUUAGUUGGUGCAGUCAUGUAAUCCUCCACAGAAGUAUGUUGAAUUUCGUUUUCGAUUGGCAAUUUCUUAAUCUAGCAGUACCCCUGGCUAAGAUUACCUUUAGGUUAGAUUGCUAAUUUUCGUUCCUUGUUAAAAAUAAACUCCAUGUCGCGUUGUUGCGCACCAGCAUUGAAGAAAAGGGCAUUGAAGGAUAAUUAACAAAACUCAAAAAAUCAUGUACAAGAUAAGACAGCAUCUACGACAGAGUUGUAUCAGCCACCGUUGAAAAGGGAUUAGAAUUUCCAGAACUAGGAUAAUUUCUUGUUUCAUGAAGCUUAAACUUCUAGGUUUUGAGAUAGAAAUAAUACACAUACAUACCCUUUUCAGAUGUGUUUAAUAUAUGAUAAUCAAAGUGUCUUUAUCUUCAAAGUACAAGUUCUGUUUUCUUGAUCAGUUUCAAAUCUCAACUUUAUGCAGCUGCAAUCUCAGAUGCACAUACGGAAUUUAUGCCUGUCAAAAGGUUACGCUUGACUCAACUGAGACGUGAAGUUCGAUCGGGGUAUCAAUGGCAUUCUGUUAUACAAGGCCCUGGUAAAAAAGUAGAGGGCAAUGGUGAUUAAUUAUUUGCUGCUAUUUGUAAAAUCCUCUGGAACCUUUCUUGUACAGUUUUGACGGAUAUUAAGCGAUUUUGAGGGCUAGGAUUCAUACAAGGACAAGUCUUGCCAUGGUGGUAU
Molecule: long non-coding RNA, 1995 nt
Filed under: Lupinus mutabilis
Lineage: Eukaryota; Viridiplantae; Streptophyta; Magnoliopsida; Fabales; Fabaceae
Description: partial ncRNA
Source: RNAcentral